RNAcentral lists this ribosomal RNA (389 nucleotides) under Sphaeroma serratum. RNAcentral's name for it is "partial large subunit ribosomal RNA". It matches the Rfam family "Eukaryotic large subunit ribosomal RNA", at positions 658 to 897 of the family's 3401-position model. The record is from RNAcentral. Lineage: Eukaryota; Metazoa; Arthropoda; Malacostraca; Isopoda; Sphaeromatidae.
AACACGGACCAAGGAGUCUAACAAGUACGCGAGUGUAAUGGGACUACACCAAUUAAAAAGCGUAACUAAAGUGACUAUAAAAUGACCUCUAUUGCCCCGUCCUCUCCUCUUCACGGGGGAGUGGGAUUAGGGGUCUCUAGAGCGUUAUUCUUUUGGAUCGAUCCUCGGCCUUUUGCUCGCAAAAGGCUUUCUUGGCGCAGAUCCACGGCCCGCCGGUGACCUUCCGCCGCGCUGCCCCUUUAUUUUCGAAUAUCGGUAAGCAGUGUCGGAAGCAUCCGGCAGGUACGAUGAGCAUUCUUGUUAGUACCCGAAAGAUGGUGAUCUAUGUUUGGCCAAGAUGAAGCCAGAGGAAACUCUGGUGGAGGUCUGUGGCGAUUCUGACGUGCAAA